Long non-coding RNA from Acanthochromis polyacanthus (spiny chromis), 743 nucleotides. RefSeq lists it as uncharacterized. The transcript is spliced from 3 exons. Lineage: Eukaryota; Metazoa; Chordata; Actinopteri; Pomacentridae. The record is from RefSeq and is a predicted model, not a curated record.
AUCCGAGUCUCCAGGUGGAUGGAACGUUAGCAUAGACCACGGUCUAUGGUCAGGCCAUAGAUAUGUAUGGAAGACAGCCAGCUUGUCUGGUAGCAUCUCUGGCUGCUGUUGACCUUGUUUUUGGAGUAAGACACGGUGGAAGCUGAAUUAGUGAGGAUGACUCCUGCUCCUGUCAUCUCUAAGCUCCUCACACAUCUUUACCUGCACGUGAGGAAAAUCCCUCCUGUAGAAUGCAGAUGUUCAGAGGGAGAUGAUGCCACAUCUGGUCCAGCCGAUGGAAGGUCUUGAAGUUCUCUGUGGAUGGUCCUCUCACUGGAUUUAAGGUUCAGAUGCUCAGGAACAAACUGAGCCGAUUAUUAAAUGUUGCUACGAAGGUAUCGCUGUUUUUCUUUGUGAAUGCAAAGUGCUCCAACUGAAACUUGAAUUAGAACUUAGAAGUAAAUCCUUCCAUCUGAAAGGAUCUAGUUGCAUUAAUAACCUCAGAACGUUCUAAUUUUUAUUCCAGUCUUGGUUGGAAAUAGAAUCUCUGUAUUGAUUCAGGUAAAAACUGAACUUCACAGCAUGUUGGAGCAAAACAAGCAGAUGAAAAGUGUGAUGGUGUUGGAUUGUCAGACCGUAAUGUUGCAGCUCAAAGCAGCUUUUCUAUCUCACUUCAUUCUGACAUUCAGCUCUGAAUCAACAGCAGAUCCAGAUGAUGGUGAUCCAUGCUGUGGAAGUGUCACGUCUCCUCAUUUAAAUACACU